UUAUAAUUGUCAAUUAGAUAAAUAUUUAUAAAAUAUCUCGGAAAAAAAAGAAAACUCGUUAAAUAAAAUAUAUGACUCGUAAUUCGUAGUUGCUCGUGGAACAUUUAUAAUCAAACGUUUCCUCGUUCGCAUAUCGCGCUAUAAUGGUGAUGAAUUUAUGAUCGUAUGUUACGUUUUUCAUCGACAUUUACAAUGCUAGUCUGUGUUAUGCGAAACGCUGAUCAAAUCACACAGUUAGCAAACUCAAUAUUACGUAUAUACCGUCUCAUAUAUCGUCUGUUAUAUUCGGGAUUAGAGCAGACACCGAGACAUGCAAUCCGCUCGUGUUUCCUGCAGCUACAGAUCAAGGAGGAG
Molecule: long non-coding RNA, 354 nt
Organism: Apis florea (little honeybee)
Lineage: Eukaryota; Metazoa; Arthropoda; Insecta; Hymenoptera; Apidae
Source: RefSeq, a predicted model, not a curated record